CCUACUGUGUGCACCAGUGAGGAAUAUUGGACAAUGGUCGGAAGACUGAUCCAGCCAUGCCGCGUGCAGGAAGACUGCCCUAUGGGUUGUAAACUGCUUUUAUACGGGAAGAAACCACCCCUCGUGAGGGGAGCUGACGGUACCGUAAGAAUAAGCAUCGGCUAACUCCGUGCCAGCAGCCGCGGUAAUACGGAGGAUGCAAGCGUUAUCCGGAAUCAUUGGGUUUAAAGGGUCCGUAAGUGGAUAAUUAAGUCAGGGGUGAAAUCUUGCAGCUCAACUGUAAAAUUGCCUUUGAUACUGGUUAUCUUGAGUCGUUAUGAAGUGGUUGGAAUAUGUAGUGUAGCGGUGAAAUGCAUAGAUAUUACAUAGAACACCUAUUGCGAAGGCAGAUCACUAAUAACGUACUGACACUGAUGGACGAAAGCGUGGGGAGCGAACAGGAUU
RNAcentral lists this ribosomal RNA (444 nucleotides) under uncultured bacterium. Its description in RNAcentral is "bacterial SSU rRNA". It matches the Rfam family "Bacterial small subunit ribosomal RNA", at positions 338 to 779 of the family's 1533-position model. The record is from RNAcentral.